UACGAAGGGUGCAAGCGUUACUCGGAAUUACUGGGCGUAAAGCGUGCGUAGGUGGUUCGUUAAGUCUGAUGUGAAAGCCCUGGGCUCAACCUGGGAAUGGCAUUGGAUACUGGCGACCUAGAGUGCGGUAGAGGGGUGUGGAAUUCCCGGUGUAGCAGUGAAAUGCGUAGAUAUCGGGAGGAACAUCUGUGGCGAAGGCGACACCCUGGACCAGCACAGACACUGAGGCACGAAAGCGUGGGGAGCAAACAGG
This 253-nucleotide ribosomal RNA is filed under the name uncultured bacterium. Its description in RNAcentral is "partial 16S ribosomal RNA". It matches the Rfam family "Bacterial small subunit ribosomal RNA", at positions 524 to 776 of the family's 1533-position model. The record is from RNAcentral.